UUACUGAGUACUACACUCUCUACCCUUUGGGAACUAUUAUACCUGUUGCUUCGGCGGCGCCCGCAAGGGUGCCCGCCGGUCUCAUCAGAAUCUCUGUUUUCGAACCCGACGAUACUUCUGAGUGUUCUUAGCGAACUGUCAAAACUUUUAACAACGGAUCUCUUGGCUCCAGCAUCGAUGAAGAACGCAGCGAAACGCGAUAUGUAAUGUGAAUUGCAGAAUUCAGUGAAUCAUCGAAUCUUUGAACGCACAUGGCGCCUUCCAGUAUCCUGGGAGGCAUGCCUGUCCGAGCGUCGUUUCAACCCUCGAGCCCCUGUGGCCCGGCGUUGGGGAUCUGCCACGGCAGGCCCCUAAAACCAGUGGCGGACCCGAAGGGCCCUCUCCUUUGCGCAGUAGCAUUCGCCUCGCAUCGGGAGUCCUCGGCGUCCUGCCUCUAAACCCCCCACAAGCCCGCUUCGGCGGCACCAAGGUUGACCUCGGAUCAGGUAGGAAUACCCGCU
This 500-nucleotide ribosomal RNA is filed under the name fungal sp. E15109F. RNAcentral describes it as "eukaryotic LSU rRNA". The stretch from base 143 to 296 matches the Rfam family "5.8S ribosomal RNA". The record is from RNAcentral. Lineage: Eukaryota; Fungi.